AAAGAGGGAAUAUGCUUCUAAUUGUGAUUCCUUCUACUAACUCACUUUAUCUCCAAUGGAACAUUCCUGUGUGUUUCUCUCAAACAGAAGGAGAGGAAGAGGUGAUGAUGACGAUGCAGAGAGACCACCCAUCUGCACCAGCUGAGCCCAUCUGCAGAGGGCGUUCUGCAGAUGCCUUGCUGCAGCUCAGCUCCCAGCUGCACAGGAGCUGAAGAGACCUGCAUGGGAGCAAGUGGUCUGC
Long non-coding RNA from Bos indicus x Bos taurus (hybrid cattle), 241 nucleotides. NCBI's taxonomy places the organism in Eukaryota, Metazoa, Chordata, Mammalia, Artiodactyla, Bovidae. The record is from Ensembl.